Molecule: ribosomal RNA, 2843 nt
Filed under: Escherichia coli
Lineage: Bacteria; Pseudomonadati; Pseudomonadota; Gammaproteobacteria; Enterobacterales; Enterobacteriaceae
Description: bacterial LSU rRNA
Rfam family: Bacterial large subunit ribosomal RNA
Source: RNAcentral
UUAAGCGACUAAGCGUACACGGUGGAUGCCCUGGCAGUCAGAGGCGAUGAAGGACGUGCUAAUCUGCGAUAAGCGUCGGUAAGGUGAUAUGAACCGUUAUAACCGGCGAUUUCCGAAUGGGGAAACCCAGUGUGAUUCGUCACACUAUCAUUAACUGAAUCCAUAGGUUAAUGAGGCGAACCGGGGGAACUGAAACAUCUAAGUACCCCGAGGAAAAGAAAUCAACCGAGAUUCCCCCAGUAGCGGCGAGCGAACGGGGAGCAGCCCAGAGCCUGAAUCAGUAUGUGUGUUAGUGGAAGCGUCUGGAAAGGCGCGCGAUACAGGGUGACAGCCCCGUACACAAAAAUGCACAUGCUGUGAGCUCGAUGAGUAGGGCGGGACACGUGGUAUCCUGUCUGAAUAUGGGGGGACCAUCCUCCAAGGCUAAAUACUCCUGACUGACCGAUAGUGAACCAGUACCGUGAGGGAAAGGCGAAAAGAACCCCGGCGAGGGGAGUGAAAAAGAACCUGAAACCGUGUACGUACAAGCAGUGGGAGCACAGAGCAAUCUGUGUGACUGCGUACCUUUUGUAUAAUGGGUCAGCGACUUAUAUUCUGUAGCAAGGUUAACCGAAUAGGGGAGCCGAAGGGAAACCGAGUCUUAACUGGGCGUUAAGUUGCAGGGUAUAGACCCGAAACCCGGUGAUCUAGCCAUGGGCAGGUUGAAGGUUGGGUAACACUAACUGGAGGACCGAACCGACUAAUGUUGAAAAAUUAGCGGAUGACUUGUGGCUGGGGGUGAAAGGCCAAUCAAACCGGGAGAUAGCUGGUUCUCCCCGAAAGCUAUUUAGGUAGCGCCUCGUGAAUUCAUCUCCGGGGGUAGAGCACUGUUUCGGCAAGGGGGUCAUCCCGACUUACCAACCCGAUGCAAACUGCGAAUACCGGAGAAUGUUAUCACGGGAGACACACGGCGGGUGCUAACGUCCGUCGUGAAGAGGGAAACAACCCAGACCGCCAGCUAAGGUCCCAAAGUCAUGGUUAAGUGGGAAACGAUGUGGGAAGGCCCAGACAGCCAGGAUGUUGGCUUAGAAGCAGCCAUCAUUUAAAGAAAGCGUAAUAGCUCACUGGUCGAGUCGGCCUGCGCGGAAGAUGUAACGGGGCUAAACCAUGCACCGAAGCUGCGGCAGCGACGCUUAUGCGUUGUUGGGUAGGGGAGCGUUCUGUAAGCCUGCGAAGGUGUGCUGUGAGGCAUGCUGGAGGUAUCAGAAGUGCGAAUGCUGACAUAAGUAACGAUAAAGCGGGUGAAAAGCCCGCUCGCCGGAAGACCAAGGGUUCCUGUCCAACGUUAAUCGGGGCAGGGUGAGUCGACCCCUAAGGCGAGGCCGAAAGGCGUAGUCGAUGGGAAACAGGUUAAUAUUCCUGUACUUGGUGUUACUGCGAAGGGGGGACGGAGAAGGCUAUGUUGGCCGGGCGACGGUUGUCCCGGUUUAAGCGUGUAGGCUGGUUUUCCAGGCAAAUCCGGAAAAUCAAGGCUGAGGCGUGAUGACGAGGCACUACGGUGCUGAAGCAACAAAUGCCCUGCUUCCAGGAAAAGCCUCUAAGCAUCAGGUAACAUCAAAUCGUACCCCAAACCGACACAGGUGGUCAGGUAGAGAAUACCAAGGCGCUUGAGAGAACUCGGGUGAAGGAACUAGGCAAAAUGGUGCCGUAACUUCGGGAGAAGGCACGCUGAUAUGUAGGUGAAGUCCCUCGCGGAUGGAGCUGAAAUCAGUCGAAGAUACCAGCUGGCUGCAACUGUUUAUUAAAAACACAGCACUGUGCAAACACGAAAGUGGACGUAUACGGUGUGACGCCUGCCCGGUGCCGGAAGGUUAAUUGAUGGGGUCAGCGCAAGCGAAGCUCUUGAUCGAAGCCCCGGUAAACGGCGGCCGUAACUAUAACGGUCCUAAGGUAGCGAAAUUCCUUGUCGGGUAAGUUCCGACCUGCACGAAUGGCGUAAUGAUGGCCAGGCUGUCUCCACCCGAGACUCAGUGAAAUUGAACUCGCUGUGAAGAUGCAGUGUACCCGCGGCAAGACGGAAAGACCCCGUGAACCUUUACUAUAGCUUGACACUGAACAUUGAGCCUUGAUGUGUAGGAUAGGUGGGAGGCUUGGAAGUGUGGACGCCAGUCUGCAUGGAGCCGACCUUGAAAUACCACCCUUUAAUGUUUGAUGUUCUAACGUUGACCCGUAAUCCGGGUUGCGGACAGUGUCUGGUGGGUAGUUUGACUGGGGCGGUCUCCUCCUAAAGAGUAACGGAGGAGCACGAAGGUUGGCUAAUCCUGGUCGGACAUCAGGAGGUUAGUGCAAUGGCAUAAGCCAGCUUGACUGCGAGCGUGACGGCGCGAGCAGGUGCGAAAGCAGGUCAUAGUGAUCCGGUGGUUCUGAAUGGAAGGGCCAUCGCUCAACGGAUAAAAGGUACUCCGGGGAUAACAGGCUGAUACCGCCCAAGAGUUCAUAUCGACGGCGGUGUUUGGCACCUCGAUGUCGGCUCAUCACAUCCUGGGGCUGAAGUAGGUCCCAAGGGUAUGGCUGUUCGCCAUUUAAAGUGGUACGCGAGCUGGGUUUAGAACGUCGUGAGACAGUUCGGUCCCUAUCUGCCGUGGGCGCUGGAGAACUGAGGGGGGCUGCUCCUAGUACGAGAGGACCGGAGUGGACGCAUCACUGGUGUUCGGGUUGUCAUGCCAAUGGCACUGCCCGGUAGCUAAAUGCGGAAGAGAUAAGUGCUGAAAGCAUCUAAGCACGAAACUUGCCCCGAGAUGAGUUCUCCCUGACUCCUUGAGAGUCCUGAAGGAACGUUGAAGACGACGACGUUGAUAGGCCGG